AGAGUUUGAUCAUGGCUCAGAACGAACGCUGGCGGCAGGCCUAACACAUGCAAGUCGAGCGAGAAGGUACCUUCGGGUACUGGGCAGCGGCGGACGGGUGAGUAACGCGUGGGAAUUUGCCCUUUGGCGGGGGACAACAGUUGGAAACGACUGCUAAUACCGCAUAAGCCCUACGGGGGAAAGGCUUCGGCCACCAAAGGAUGAGCCCGCGUCUGAUUAGAUAGUUGGUGGGGUAAUGGCCUACCAAGUCUACGAUCAGUAGCUGGUUUGAGAGGAUGAUCAGCCACACUGGAACUGAGACACGGUCCAGACUCCUACGGGAGGCAGCAGUGGGGAAUAUUGGACAAUGGGGGAAACCCUGAUCCAGCCAUGCCGCGUGAGUGAAGAAGGCCUUAGGGUUGUAAAACUCUUUCAGUCACGAGGAUAAUGACGGUAGUGACAGAAGAAGCCCCGGCUAACUCCGUGCCAGCAGCCGCGGUAAUACGGAGGGGGCUAGCGUUGUUCGGAAUUACUGGGCGUAAAGCGCGCGUAGGCGGUUUAGCAAGUUGAAGGUGAAAUCCCGGGGCCCAACCCCGGAACUGCCUCCAAAACUGCUAGACUAGAAUUCAAGAGAGGUAGGCGGAACUUCCAGUGUAGAGGUGAAAUUCGUAGAUAUUGGAAAGAACACCAGUGGCGACGCGGCUUACUGGCUUGAUAUUGACGCUGAGUGCGAAAGCGUGGGAGCAAACAGGAUUAGAUACCCUGGUAGUCCACGCCGUAAAUGGUGAAUGCUAGUUGUCAGAAGCUUGACUUUUGGUGACGCAGCUAACGCAUUAAGCAUUCCGCCUGGGGAGUACGGUCGCAAGAUUAAAACUCAAAGGAAUUGACGGGGGCCCGCACAAGCGGUGGAGCAUGUGGUUUAAUUCGAAACAACGCGCAGAACCUUACCAGUUCUUGACAUACUCGUCGCGGAAUCCAGAGAUGGAUUCUUUCAGUUCGGCUGGACGAUGUACAGGUGCUGCAUGGCUGUCGUCAGCUCGUGUCGUGAGAUGUUGGGUUAAGUCCCGCAACGAGCGCAACCCUCGUCCUUAGUUGCCAUCAGUUAGGCUGGGCACUCUAAGGAGACUGCCGGUGAUAAGCCGGAGGAAGGUGGGGAUGACGUCAAGUCCUCAUGGCCCUUAUGAACUGGGCUACACACGUGCUACAAUGGCAUCUACAGUGGGCAGCGACAUAGUGAUAUGAAGCUAAUCUCCAAAAGAUGUCUCAGUUCGGAUUGUUCUCUGCAACUCGAGAGCAUGAAGUUGGAAUCGCUAGUAAUCGCAGAACAGCAUGCUGCGGUGAAUACGUUCCCGGGCCUUGUACACACCGCCCGUCACACCAUGGGAGUUGGUUUCACCCGAAGGCGGUACGCUAACCUACUUGUAGGAGGCAGCCGACCACGGUGGGAUCAGCGACUGGGGUGAAGUCGUAACAAGGUAUCCGUA
RNAcentral lists this ribosomal RNA (1463 nucleotides) under uncultured bacterium. RNAcentral describes it as "partial 16S ribosomal RNA". It matches the Rfam family "Bacterial small subunit ribosomal RNA". The record is from RNAcentral.